Molecule: long non-coding RNA, 4473 nt
Filed under: Chlamydomonas reinhardtii
Lineage: Eukaryota; Viridiplantae; Chlorophyta; Chlorophyceae; Chlamydomonadales; Chlamydomonadaceae
Description: long non-coding RNA (CREI_LNC001149)
Source: RNAcentral
CGAGCACCAACCUACACCACAACCUAACCGCAAGAACCACCACCACCGCGCGCCAGAAAUAAUAAUAAUAAUAAUAAUAGCUACGCACGGGCCAACGGCCCCGCGUGUCUUAAGGAAGAGUCCUUCUUAGAACCCUACCGUACCCUGUGGGACCCUGACUAGAGGCACCCCACGCAUCACCCUCUACUCAGCUCAUAGGAUCCGAAGAUCUGAGCUUAUCGGCCUACCAACCCUCCGAAUUCGGCCAGCGUAGAGUUUCCUCGUUGCACCAAUGGGAUCGAUACAACGAUUCUUCGGUGCCACGGACUCCAUACCGGAACACCUACGGUGAGGGGGGUGGGAUCCGAACCCACGACCUCAACCUUAUCCGCCGGGAAACGGGCCGAAUAUGAGAUUCGAACCCGGGUCCGCAGGGUGAUAAGGAAGUGCUCUUACCUACUGAGCUACCCCCCCGCGCCAGAAAAGAAAACACCAGUACUACGCACUCGCCCCGCCCAAACCCACCCCACCCCCACAAGUCGGUUGCUUAAGCAACACCCCAGGAGAACCUGCUAAGGAAACACUAAACGGGCCAGAUGUGGCGCUGACAUAGCGGGGUCCAGCCCGCUGCAAGACAAAGAAGAAAGCUGCAAACAACGCGCUGUGCAGGAAGGCCCACAGCCGCCCAGGCGCUGCGACGCCAGCCAGAGCUAAAACACAUGGGCACCAGAUAAGCUGAUGACGAUAAUACGCCACGCCAGCGCCUGGAAAUAAACGCCGCCCAAGAGGAAAUCUAGGGGGCCUGCACAGGUGAUGCAGGCGUCAGCCGCAAGUUCAACUUUGGUGACCCACCCUGAACCUCCUCCACCUCACAAAAUGCGCCACCCGCCGCCCAGAUGGCCACAAAGUGCUCCAGCUUAGCCGCCUUGAGCUGUGCGGUGAGAAGCUGUGUGGGCAAGGCUGACAGGGUUUCAGGGGUUAGCGUGGCGGCAGUGAAACGCAGCGACAUCACCCUACCUGCGCAGCUCGCUGACCACCUCCCGAACCACAUGCUCCGACGUCUGCUUAGCAGGCUCGCGGGACCAGUACGCACACCAGACGGCGUACAAGAAGGUGGCCCGCAAAGUGCUCCACAGCAGCGCGCCCGCCCCCCGCGGGCCUGAGGCCCACAUACCCAUGCGGUCCCCCAGCAUGAAGCCCGCGUCCGUCACUGGCGGCGCCGCUGCCUGGGGCGCAACGCUACGGGGGCUGUGUCCUACGUCCACUUCACGGGGCGGCUCUUGGAGCCUGGGCCUGGCGUGCUGCCCCCGGCGUUGGAUGGGGCGUGGCAGCCUGCCUGUGUGCUGCAGCAUCGCAAGCCGCGGCACCUGUGGACCUUUGAAGAGCGGGCGGCGUACGAUGCAGCAUCACCAGGGGAACGGGCGGGGGCGUGGCCUCGGGCGCCGUACUUCCUGGCGCCGGAGGCUGGGGUGGUGGUGCACCCGGAGCACUGCCGGAUUGCGGGUGUAGCUGCUGCAGCCACGUCCUCGCCUGCGCAUAAGCUGGACACUCCAGGAAGAUGUGCGUCAGGCUGGCCCACGCCCGCGGGCCAGGUGGCCCGCAGGCGGGGUGAGGACAGUGCGCCCCCAACCCCCCGCACCCCGUGGUCACCCGUGGACGAAUUCCCUUGCCCGCCCUGUACAGCCCGCAAGGCAGGUAAGCAUGUUGCAGCCGGUACACCAGCACCUUUGCCCCCCGACUGGCGUGGCUGUCCCACAGCCUCCGCCACGUACCCCGCAGAAGGGACGCAUCCGGGGGCGGCAUGCGAGGGUCGCCCUCCACCGCCGCCGCUGCUGCCACCGCCGCCGUGGCAGGCCCCGUGCUAGGUCCCGCCCCGCCCGCCGCCUGCUCCUGCAGCCGCGCGGACCGCCGCGGCCCCUCACCCGACUGCUGGGACGGGGACGCAUACGACUGCAGUUCUCUCGCCGGCGUGUUCUGCAGCCCGGCUUUUUUUGACCGGCUGCCGCAAAGGUGCGGUGGAGCCAGGGGUCCAGAGCCACCGGGUUAUUGUGGAAAUGCUGCGCCGCCGUGGUGGUCAGCUGCGCCGCUGCACGCUGCCACUCCGCCUCCCGCUCCGCCAGCCGCGACUGUGCCGCCGGCUGGGUCCCCGAACCCCCCGCCUGCUGUGCUGGCGCCGGGCACGGCAUGGCUGCGGGGCGGGCCGGAGCCGGAGGUGCGGCCGGGUUAGCCGCGGUGAUGGCCCGCCACACGUCCCGCACCGUGUAGUCCGCCAAGCUGACACCCGCAAUCCGGCAGUGCUCCGGGUGCACCACCACCCCAGCCUCCGGCGCCAGGAAGUACAGCUUUUUUUUGAGGAAUCAUCCUUACAAGGUUGAACAGGGGCAGACGCGCUGCCCCCCUGCUGCCUUUGUUUUUUUUGAGGAAUCAUCCUUACAAGGUUGAACAGGGGCAGACGCGCUGCCCCCCUGCUGCCUUUGUUUUUUUUGAGGAAUCAUCCUUACAAGGUUGAACAGGGGCAGACGCGCUGCCCCCCUGCUGCCUGAAAGCAGCCUGGUCCCCGAGACCAGAACCAACAGGGCAAGAAGAGAAGAAAAGAGAAGAAAAACAGAAAGCAAACACCUCGAAAACUGCCACCAAACACCCCCAUCCAACCCACCCCACCCAACCCCGACCCGGCAGACAGAGCAGGAGGCUGGCCCCCCCGCCCCCCGGGAGGGGUUGCACAAAAACACCGCCAGACCUAACCCAAGCACCAACCUAUACCACAGCCUAACCACAAGAACCACCACCACCGCGCGCCAGAAAAGAAAACACCAGUGCUACGCACUCGCCCCGCCCAAACCCACCCACCCCCACAAGUCGGUGGCUUAAGCAAAACCCCAGGAGAACCGGCAGAGGAGACACAAGCAGAAAACUAAACGGGCCAGAUGACGGGCUCCUGAACCACAUGCUCCGACGUCUGCUUAGCAGGCUCGCGGGACCAGUACGCACACCAGACGGCGUACAAGAAGGUGGCCCGCAAAGUGCUCCACAGCAGCGCGCCCGCCCCCCGCGGGCCUGAGGCCCACAUACCCAUGCGGUCCCCCAGCAUGAAGCCCGCGUCCGUCACUGGCGGCGCCGCUGCCUGGGGCGCAACGCAGGCCCACAGCUGCUGCAGCCACGUCCUCGCCUGCGCAUAAGCUGGACACUCCAGGAAGAUGUGCGUUAGGCUGGCCCACGCCGGCGGGCCAGGUGGCCCGCAGGCGGGGUGAGGACAGUGCGCCCCCAACCCCCCGCACCCCGUGGUCACCCGUGGACGAAUUCCCUUGCCCGCCCUGUACAGCCCGCAAGGCAGGUAAGCAUGUUGCAGCCGGUACACCAGCGAGUGUACCGGUGCGGGAGGCGGAGUGGCAGCGUGCAGCGGCGCAGCUGACCACCACGGCGGCGCAGCAUUUCCACAAAAACCCGGUGGCUCUGGACCCCUGGCUCCACCGCACCUCUGCGGCUGCCGGGCAGCAGAACACGCCACAGGUGCCGGGGCAACCGGCGCCUGUGGCGCUCACGGGGCCGGGCACGCGCAACACUGUCUCCGCAGCCGCCGCAGCCAUGUACAGCCGCCGCAGCCAUGUACAGCAGGCCUGAUCGAAUGGAUGCGCCUGGACGUGGGCGCGGACGGCACGCCACGGCAGGGUGGUGCGCUGUACUUCUUGGACAUAGAAAAGGCGUAUGACCGGGUGCACCGGCAGUGGCUGUAUGCGUCCGCGGAGGGACUUGGGUUUGGGCCGCGCAUGCUGCGCUGGAUCCGCCUUUUUUUUUCCUGCUCACUGCCAACGGCUCUGCCCGCAUGUGUGUGAACGGGAUGCUCUCUGACGCCUGCCCAGUGCUGAACGGCUUGCCGCAGGGCAGCAUCGCCUCACCACCCCUGUGGGUCAUCCAGAUGCAGCCACUGACGUCCUUUCUGCGGCGGCAGGUGGAGCAAGGGGCACUGCGCACGCCCCUGUUACCCAGCGGCGAGCAGGCGCCGCCUGCUUUUUUUUUUUUAGGAAUCAUCCUUACAAGGUUGACCAGGGGCAGACGCGCUGCCCCCCUGCUGCCUGAAAGCAGCCUGGUCCCCGAGACCAGAACCCUGACAGGGCAAGAAGAGAAGAAGAAAAGAGAAGAAAACAGAAAGCAAACACCUCGAAAACCGCCACCAACCACCCCCAUCGAUCCCACCCCACCCCACCGCGACCCGGCAGACAGAGCAGGAGGCUGGCCCCCCCGCCCCCCGGGAGGGGUUGCACAAAAACACCGCCAGACCUAACCCAAGCACCAACCUACACCACAGCCUAACCGCAAGAACCACCACCACCGCGCGCCAGCAAAGAAAACACCAGCGCUACGCACUCGCCCCGCCCAAACCCACCCCACCCCCACAAGUCGGUUGCUUAAGCAACACCCCAGUAGAACCGGCAGAGGAGACACAAGCAGAAAACUAAACGGGCCAGAUGUGGCGCUGACUAAGCGGGCUCCAGU